GACGAGAGGCCCGAGCGUUAAUCGGAUUUACUGGGCGUAAAGCGUGUGUAGGUGGCUGUUCAAGUCGGUUGUGAAAUCCCCGGGCUCAACCUGGGAAUUGCUUCCGAGACUGAGCGGCUAGAGUACGGUAGAGGGCGGUGGAAUUUCCGGUGUAGCGGUGAAAUGCGUAGAUAUCGGAAGGAACACCAAUGGCGAAGGCAGCCGCCUGGGCCUGUACUGACACUGAGACACGAAAGCGUGGGGAUCAAACAGG
Molecule: unclassified non-coding RNA, 253 nt
Filed under: uncultured Salinisphaerales bacterium
Lineage: Bacteria; Pseudomonadati; Pseudomonadota; Gammaproteobacteria; Salinisphaerales
Description: contains 16S-23S intergenic spacer region
Rfam family: Bacterial small subunit ribosomal RNA
Source: RNAcentral